CGGUUACACGGCAGUGAUUCGAGCCGACGUCGCGCUGCUCUAGAUUAGCUCAGUACACGUGGAUAAUCUGCCCUAUGGUGGAGGAUAACCCCGGGAAACUGGGGAUAAUACUCCAUAAGUCAGGAGUACUGGAAUGUCUCCUAACUGAAAGUUGCGGCGCCAUAGGAUGAAUCUGCGGCCGAUUAGGUAGUUGUUGGGGUAACGGCCCUUUUUUUCUGUAAUCGGUACGGGUUGUGGGAGCAAGAGCCCGGAGAUGGAAUCUGAGACACGAUUUUUUUGCCCGCGGGGCGCAGCAGGCGCGAAAACUUUACAAUGCAGGAUUCUCUCGUUUAAGGGAACCCCGAGUGCGCCGUAAACCCCGGGCUGUCCCGGUGUUUAAAACACAUCGGAAGAAAGGGCCGGGCAAGACCGGUGUCAGCUGUCUGUGGUAAUACCGGCGGCUCGAGUGGUGACCACUUUUAUUGGGCUUAAAGCGUUCGUAGCUUUGAUUUUUAAGUCUCUUGGAAAUCUCACGGCUUAACUGUGAGCGUCUAAGAGAUACUGGGAAUCUAGGGACCGGGAGAGUAAGAGUACUUCAGGUUAGAGUGAAUUCUGUAUCCUUGAGGGACCACGAUGCGAGCAUCUUAACAGAACCGCUCGACAGUGAGACGAGCUGGUGUACGACGAAUAGAUACCGUAGUCCAGCGUAAACUUAUGCCG
Molecule: ribosomal RNA, 699 nt
Filed under: uncultured archaeon
Lineage: Archaea
Description: bacterial SSU rRNA
Rfam family: Archaeal small subunit ribosomal RNA
Source: RNAcentral